RNAcentral lists this transfer RNA (73 nucleotides) under Draconibacterium sp. RNAcentral describes it as "tRNA-Met". It matches the Rfam family "tRNA". Rfam says of the family: Transfer RNA (tRNA) molecules are approximately 80 nucleotides in length. The record is from RNAcentral. RNAcentral also lists the same sequence under 4 other names. Lineage: Bacteria; Pseudomonadati; Bacteroidota; Bacteroidia; Marinilabiliales; Prolixibacteraceae.
UGCGGGGUGGAGCAGUUGGCAGCUCGUCGGGCUCAUAACCCGAAGGUCAUCGGUUCAAGUCCGGUCCCCGCUA